AAUGCUUUCAAGGCUUUCAAAGCCUGUGUUCCAGUUGCUUGGAGCCCUCAUUCAUCUAUUACCUUGGUGAGGGGCAUCCCAGGCACCAGGAAGCUUCUUAGGCUCAUGCUGGAGGCGUUGUGGUUUCGCAAAUGCUACAGAACUGUUAUGCAAUGGAAUACGCCUUCUCUCAGUUCUAUUUUUUACUUUCACAGGUUAAGAGAUUGAUUGUGAUUGAGACGGAAGAAAUAUUUUAAGGCUUGCAAACAAAAAGAAGCAGCCCAAUGAGCUCUACGGCCUCCAUUGAUUGUGAACCAUUGCAUACCUGAUUCUUCUUACCAAUCAUGUGAGAUCCUUCACAGUGAACUGGUAUCAGAUAUGGGCAAGGACUUUGUUGAGAGCUUAGUGCAGCAAAAGGCAUACUUACAACAAGAAGCCUUUUAUAGAUGAUGAUCUUUUUAGGUCCCUUGGAUAAAUGAUCAGUGGAAAAGAGAUGCAGUUGAGUGUACAAAGCCAGCAGUGUUGGCUGGUUGGUUCUGGGGUAGGCAGAUGAAGUUUUGGAAAUCAUGAAGCCAAUCAUGCUAGUAUAGAAGGUGGUCGAUUAUGAUCAUAUGGGGCUAUGAUAUCACUUGUCUACGAUGCCAUGCUUUGGGCCAGGGACUGCAUGAUUGCCAAGAUUGGUGAGAGGGAACGGAAUUGGAGAGUGGUAGAGAAACGGUGGGCACCCAAUUUCAUCAUCUAAUGCAUGCGAUAGGACUUCGAUAUGUGCCAGAUCGAAAUGAAGAAAGUCAUAUUAAAACUAGUUAGAGAUAUUGAUGAGCAAACCCUAUGUAUAAACGAGGUUUCGGUGUACGGGAAACAGAUGUGUGAGUUUGCCUCACUGCUAGCACGACGACCCAUCCAUAACAUGACCCAGGGAAAGUUCUCUUGUGGACAUGCAGUUCAUCAAGGUGAGACGAACUGAAGCACAUUCAGCCUCAUUCCCACUAGGCCCUGAAUCGGCUGAAGAUGAAAGCUCUGCAUUUACUUGUCGUGGUGCACUACAACUAGUAGUUGUGGAUUCGCAAUUAGUUGGCGUAGGAGGUUGAGCAUACGUCUAUGGAUCUAAAGCACAAAGGUGUAAGGGUGCAGCCAGACAUGGCUGAGCUACUACUCAAUGGUAACUUUUCAUGGUUGGAUAGGGAACUUGAAGGUCACUCUAAAGAGUAUGAGCCUAGUGGUUUUUACUUGUCUCGUUGAAGUAGGUCUUAGGCUUAGGUCUCUAGUUAGAAUCCCCCUGCAGCAUUUCUACCCCACCCCCGCCCAUGGCCGCCCUCUUGGGAUGCCAUCCUAGUGGUCUACGGGCCCUUGUUAAGGAAUGACUAAAAAAAGAAGGAAUGUGUGAAUUUGCUUUUUACGUUGGCA
Long non-coding RNA from Macadamia integrifolia, 1383 nucleotides. RefSeq lists it as uncharacterized. Lineage: Eukaryota; Viridiplantae; Streptophyta; Magnoliopsida; Proteales; Proteaceae. The record is from RefSeq and is a predicted model, not a curated record. The transcript is spliced from 6 exons.